This is a non-coding RNA of Gossypium hirsutum (cotton), 87 nucleotides long. NCBI's taxonomy places the organism in Eukaryota, Viridiplantae, Streptophyta, Magnoliopsida, Malvales, Malvaceae. The record is from Rfam.
CACGUCAGCGUGCUAUGUUGACGUGGCAACAAAUCGCUCCCUCUAGGACGCGAUUUGCUGCCACAUCAGCAAAACGCACUGACGUGG